AUAUAUAUAUUGAAAGGAAAUUUUUGGCAAAAACAAAUUAAGACGUGGAUUCAUUGAUAUUUGAAACAAAAAUGUUUCUUUUUUACACCGACCAGGUGUCAAAUUUCUAUUGGUUUUUUUCUUUUAAAUGGAAAUGAGUUUUUUAAAAACUGACGAGGGUAGAAUAGGAAUUCCAAGGAUAUGAAAUUUUGUUUGGCGGUUCCUUUUUCUUCUCUUUCACUUUGUUUCUGAAGCUUCUUGUCUCCCAUCACUCUUUCCAUUUCCGGUUGCUUCAUCUUUACAAUCCUUUGGUUUCUCCGUUGUACCGUUAGUUUCAUCUCAACCCGAAAAAAGCUAUUUUUCGCAAGGUAAACUUUAUUUCCUCUAUCCCCUUUUUGGGUGGCUUUGGCGUUGUGUGUGUGUUUUGUCAUUUCGUCCCCUUCUCGCAUUGUAUGGGUUCUCUUUCUGUAUCAUUUCGUCCCCUUCUCACAUUGUU
RNAcentral lists this long non-coding RNA (475 nucleotides) under Vigna radiata. RNAcentral's name for it is "long non-coding RNA (VRAD_LNC006987)". The record is from RNAcentral. Lineage: Eukaryota; Viridiplantae; Streptophyta; Magnoliopsida; Fabales; Fabaceae.